UACGUAGGGGGCAAGCAUUGUCCGGAUUUAUUGGGCGUAAAGAGCGUGUAGGCGGCCAGAUAGGUCCGUUGUGAAAACUCGAGGCUCAACCUCGAGACGCCGAUGGAAACCAUUUGGCUAGAGUCCGGAAGAGGAGAGUGGAAUUCCUGGUGUAGCGGUGAAAUGCGCAGAUAUCAGGAAGAACACCCGUGGCUAAGGCGGCUCUCUAGUACGGUACUGACGCUGAGACGCGAAAGCGUGGGGAGCGAACAGG
RNAcentral lists this ribosomal RNA (253 nucleotides) under uncultured bacterium. RNAcentral's name for it is "partial 16S ribosomal RNA". It matches the Rfam family "Bacterial small subunit ribosomal RNA", at positions 524 to 776 of the family's 1533-position model. The record is from RNAcentral.